Molecule: RNA transcript, 4479 nt
Organism: Micropterus salmoides (largemouth bass)
Lineage: Eukaryota; Metazoa; Chordata; Actinopteri; Centrarchiformes; Centrarchidae
Gene name: protocadherin Fat 1
Exons: 24
Source: RefSeq, a predicted model, not a curated record
UUAAAGGACAUGGCCGCUGUGUUAAUUAACGUAGAGGACUUUGAUAAUUUGAAUCCCUAUUUCAGCCACAACAUGUACCAGGCUCUUAUCUCGGAGAAUGAGAUUGGGGCUUUUCGAACCAUAGAGCCAGAGGCGAUAAGGGCUCAGGAUGGAGACACUGGGAUCAAUGUGUCUCUAACUUACAGUAUCAGUGCAGUGUCUCCAGACAAGUAUCAGACAAACUUCAACAUUAAUUCCAACACUGGAGUUGUGUCUGUGGUGACUGCCAUAGACAGAGAGGAGAUGAACAGCAAUGUGAUCUCUGUCAGCAUAAAGGCGGCCCAGGCAGACGACAGUGUGAAGACGGCUGAUGCUGUGGUGUCAGUCACUGUUGAGGAUGUGAAUGAUAAUGCUCCAAAGUUUGACAAGUCAAACUACUCUCUAACACUUCAGGAAAAUUUUCCUCUUGAUGCUGUUCUGUUCAAAGCCGUUGUCACUGACCUGGACCAGGGAGGAUUUAUGGGGACUUUGCAGAUCCUUCCAGUAUCUGCUCCUUUCUCUAUCACUUCUGAUGGGACGGUCAGAGUGAAGAACUCCACGGCUCUGGACAGAGAGACAACUGAAAGCAUCACAUUUCAGAUUGAAGCAAAAGAGAAGGAUCCACCCAACCAUGUCACAGUGGCUCAAGUCAGUGUGACCCUUCUGGAUGAGAAUGACAACAGUCCUGCAUUUACCAGUAGCAAGUACGAGGGAAAGGUGUUUGCAGAUCAAACAGUGGGAAUGUUGCUGGUCCAGGUUAAGGCAGAAGAUCCAGAUGCUGACGCGAAUGGGCAGAUCAAAUACUCUAUUGACUUUGGGAACAACGAUGGCUACUUCUCAAUCGACGAAGACACUGGAAAUAUCACGCUGGCUAAAACCAUUCCUCUGGUGGAAAACAGGAUUUUGGAGUUCCCUCUCUACGUAACAGCCACAGAUGGCGGCAUCAUAUCCCGCUCUUCCUCAGCACAGGUGAACAUUCGCGCUCCUGGCAACUCUAAGCCUCAGUUUUUACAAAAAGUCUACAGUGGCAGCGUAGAAGAAGAACAGGAUCCUGGAGAUGUCAUUCUCAGGGUUAACUUCCUUGCUACAGAUGCUGAGCUGCCUGUGACUCUUCGAGUUGAUACAGAAGCCGACAAGUUCGCCAUCUCCUCCACCGGUGAAAUCACCACCAAGGUGAAGCUCGACUACGAUGAGGCCCCACACAACUACUCUGUGGCGAUCUCCAUCUCUGACGGGGUCAACAGUGACAAUGCAGUCGUGGUGGUUCGAGUCACUGACAUCAACGAUAACAGCCCGGUUUUUACCCCCAGCUCUGUCACAAAGACAGUCCCAGAGGACGCAGAGGUAGGAGUCAAUGUUACUGUUGUUCCUGCUACAGACAAAGACAGCAGCUUCAACAAGGAGAUCAGGUACUCUCUGACAGGAGGAGAGGGGAGGUUCUCUAUUGAUCCUGUUUCUGGGAUGGUGAGUGUGGCUGGUGCACUUGAUAGGGAGACCAAGGCUGAGUACAACCUGCUGGUGGUAGCUGAAGACCAGGGUCGACCAGCCAGGUCGGCCACAGCCUCCCUGCUGGUCCAAGUGUCCGACAUCAACGAUAACGUCCCCAAGUUCUCGGAGGCUGAGUAUCAGGUUGAAGUCUUAGAAACAGAGACAGUGGGUACAAGUGUUCUCGUCUUAUCAGCUGUAGACCCUGACGAAGGAGCAAACAGGAGAGUUACUUACAGUAUUUUCCGGCAAAGUCCCUCAUCAGACCCCGCUGUUUUUGAGUUGGACUCUUCCAGCGGGACUCUGCGGCUGGUCCAGCCUCUGGACUACAGUGAGGAGAAGAUGUACACCCUGAUGGUUCAGGCCUCUGAUGCGGGGACCCCCUCUCUGGUUGGGUACAGCUCUGUGGUGGUGAAGGUGAAGGACGUGAACAACAACCCACCUGAGUUCAGAAAGGAAAGCUAUGACGUGGCCGUCUCUGAGAACCUGGCCAGCGGUGCGUCCAUCCUGACCCUGGAGGUCACUGACAAGGAUGAGGGUGGAUUCUCCAAUGGUUACUUCCUCUACACCAACGAUACCUUUGACAUUAACAAACAAGGGGUGGUUUCGCUGAGGAAGGACGUCACCUUGGACAGAGAGACAAAGGACAGCUAUGUAUUACAGGUCGUGGCGGUGGAUCAGGUCACUGACGGUUUGAGAUCCACAGCUCAGCUCAACAUCACCGUCCUGGACUACAACGACAACGCCCCACAGUUCCCGGCUAUACCAGACCUCCUACAGUUCCCUGAGGGCGAUUACUCUGAGGAAAAUCCAGGAGAAAUUUUCACCAUCGUGCCCACGGACGCUGACCUCGGCCCCAACGGAGAGGUCACGGUCUCCCUCAGCUCCCCUAACCCACUCUUCAGAUUCACAGAGGACGGGACGUUGCUGGCUGUUGGCUCUCUGGAUCGGGAGAACAAGGACACUUACGAGCUGGUCGUUAAGGCCUCAGACAAAGGCAGCCCACAGAGAGAGAACAUCACCACCAUCAGAGUGAGAAUCAUCGACGUCAACGACAACAGACCUGAGUUCAGCUCCAGCAGCUACGUCAGCAGCAUCCUACUGAAAGACGCAGAGAAAGGGAAGCUGCUGCUGACGCUGUCGGCCACCGACAGAGACGUGGGGAACAACUCGCUCAUCACCUACAGUUUCUCUGCAGGAAGUUCCCCAUAUUUGGCCGUAAACAGUGAGACCGGAGCCGUGACUUUGACCUCUGACCUUGCUGAUGUCACAGAGGACACUGUGCUGGUGCAGACAGCCAUUGCUGAAGACCACGGCCAGCCUCCUCUGAACUCCACAGCCCGUCUCGUCGUCAAUCUGAGGCUGGUCAGUCUGGUGGAGGGCGUGGCCUUCAAGAGCUCCUCCUACAACUUCAGCCUACCUGAGAACCAGCCGGCGGGGGUGACUGUGGGGAGCGUCUGGGCCUCCUCAGGAAGUGACAUUUAUGACGUCGCCUACACGAUGAAAACACACACUGACCUGUUCUCCGUUGACGCCAGCGGAGCCAUCCUGACCAGAGCACAGCUGGACAAAGAAGAGCAGGACUGGUACAUCCUGGAGGUGGAGGCAGUGGACACAAGGACCCCCCCUACGUCAGCCAUUGCAAUGGUCAGAGUCCAGGUCGAGGACGUAAACGAGUCUCCGUGGUUUUCCCGCGAGGUUUAUAAAGCCUCUGUACUCAGCAUCGCUCCGUAUAAAACCCCCGUCAUCCAUGUCAAGGCUUCAGACCAUGAUGUCGGUGAGGAGGGUCAGCUGGUCUACAGUCUCUCAGCAGACAGUCCUUAUUUCGACGUGGAGCCGUCCUCAGGUCUGGUGUACGUGGUGUCGGCAGUGGGUCUGGCUGGACAGCAGGCUCAGGUGGAGGUGAAGGCCACAGACCCCCGAGGACUUGAAGCUACAACCAAGGUGGAGGUGGCGGUCCAGGGAGGUGCGAGCAGCACUGACAUGGUGGUCAUCUCCCUCAACCAGCCUGCCAAUGCUGUGGAGAAGAAAGUCCCACAGCUGGAGAAGUCUUUAGGUUCGGCUCUGGGCUGGACCGUGGACAUCAUCGAGGUGUGGAGCGAUAACGGAGGAGCCUCUGAGUCCAGAUCGCUGAGGGCGGCUGUGAAGACUUUGGUCAGCUUCAUCAGUGUCGACGGAAGGGAGGUCGUUUCAUCUGAAGAGGUCACAAAGAAGUUGCAGAGCCAAUCAGAUGCUGUGAGGGCGGAGCUAGUCAAAGUGUUUGGGGAUGGUCUUCAGUUUGACCUAGAAAUGAAACCUCAAAGCCCCGCCUCUGACGACCAGGCUGUGGUCAUCGCUCUGGGUGUCCUGUUGGGCCUGAGCAUGCUGGGAUGUAUUGUUGCUGUUGCCUUGAUCAUCGGGUUCAAGAGGACCCAGAAACACCAGGAGGAUUCUGACAAAGAAAGUUUUGACAUCAGCCAACACGCUGAAGGUUACACGAACUGGUCUCAGAAGAUUCCUGAAACAUCUGAACAGACAAAACAACCGGAGGACGAGCAACAGAGGACGGACAGAAAGGCAGCUCAAUGGGACAAACAGGCAGACGAUGACUGGACGGUGAAGAUGGACAGAGACAGUGUGAGAGUUAAACAGGACAGACAGAAAGAUGACAUGUCUUCUGUCUGAUCUGAACACAGCAGCUUUCAGUCUGUCUGUAUGGAGUCUGCAGAGAGCCACUAAACAUUCACACCCAGUGAUCAAAGAUGUGAACAAAACAUCUGAAUGUUUCUAGUUCGGAGCAACCAAGCCAUUAUUCUGCCUCCACUAAUGUGACGAAAACUUUAGAUUUGUUUUAAAAUUGUUUCCUAAAGUCAGAGGGUUUGAACUCAAAACUUGCUUUAACAUCAAAAACCCCACAUUAGACUUUUACCCGUCCACAGUAAUCCAGCUGUGAAACACGGAUUAUAAAAAGUAAAUAAAGCAUUUGUUUCAUCCGGA